UACGUAGGGUGCAGGCGUUAAUAGGAAUUACUGGGCGUAAAGCGUGCGCAGGCGGUUUGCUAAGACAGGUGUGAAAUCCCCGGGCUUAACCUGGGAACUGCGCUUGUAACUGGCAAGCUUGAGUGUGGCAGAGGGGGGUGGAAUUCCACGUGUAGCAGUGAAAUGCGUAGAGAUGUGGAGGAACACCGAUGGCGAAGGCAGCCCCCUGGGCUAACACUGACGCUCAUGCACGAAAGCGUGGGGAGCAAACAGG
RNAcentral lists this ribosomal RNA (253 nucleotides) under uncultured bacterium. RNAcentral describes it as "partial 16S ribosomal RNA". It matches the Rfam family "Bacterial small subunit ribosomal RNA", at positions 524 to 776 of the family's 1533-position model. The record is from RNAcentral.